CCACGUGUUCGGUCUUUUUUGUGUUUCUCCCAUGAAGAAAUAAGCUUGCAAAAUGAGCAAAAUUCUUCCAUCCCUCGUGCAUUUGAAUUGCUCAGGGUGUUAGAUGGUAAACCCAUCCAUUUCACUCGUUUUCCUCCUGAUCUAACUCGACUUGUACAUUUGAGGUAUCUUGUUCUCUCCUGCAACUUCAAAAUACUUCCUGCAGCCCUUUCCAGCCUUUGGAACAUGCAAACUCUUGUAGUUGAGACAUCAUCACGCACCCUUGAAAUCAAAGCAGACGUAUGGAAGAUGAUUCGAAUGAGGCAUCUAAAAACAAACGUAUCCACAACAUUGAAAGGCCCUCUCGCUAAAUCAAGGAAAAGUAAAGAAGAUUCUCGGAACUUCCAAACACUUUCUACAAUAUCACCUGAAAGUUGUACAGAAGGUGUAUUUGCUGCUGCUCCAUGCCUAAGAAAAUUGGGCAUCCGGGGCAAAUUAGCUAAACUGUUGCAUAUCAAGCAUAAUGGAUCUAGUUUGUUCGAUUGUCUGGGAAAAUUGGAUUACCUCGAAAAUUUGAAGCUAUGGAAUGAUGUAUCUCCUCAACCACCUUCUGAAGGAAAAAUAAGCAGCCUUCCCCAAAACUACAAAUUCCCAUCGAACCUGAAGAAGCUAACAAUAGUAGAGACCAGGCUUGAUUGGAAGCAUAUGUCUACUUUGGGACUGUUGGAAGGCCUUGAGAUCCUGAAGUUGAAAGACAAUGCAUUCAUAGGAGACUUGUGGAAGUCCCAGGAUGGAGGUUUCCGUUCUCUGAUAGUCUUGCAUAUUGGAAGGACAGAUUUAGUUUAUUGGAAGGCUUCUGCUGUUCAUUUCCCACGGCUCAAGUGCCUUCAUCUUAAUCACUGCAGAAAGCUUGAUGAAGUCCCAUUCGAGCUGGCUAAUGUUCCAAGCUUCCAGAAAUUGGACUUGAAAUUUACCACGAGAGCAGCAGCUGUUUCUGCAAAAACUAUUUCGGAGCAUAAAAGGCAGCCUGGUGGUAGUGGAUUUGAGCUUUCGAUUUACCCUCCGGAUCAUUAUCAAUGAUCUCCAUUUGUUCAAGGCUCAAAAAUUCUACUUCAGAGGUAAUACAUUUAAAUCCUUGUUCUCUUUACUUGAUAUGUCUUUUCCUACUGAAAAUUUUGUUGGAAUUUGGUUAAGUAAAACAAAGAAAAGUUGAUUGCGUAUCAAUUUCGGCCAAAUAUCUGGACAUGUUCCGAUAGUCAAAUCACGCAACUGAAUACACUAACUUGUUCUACUCAUCGAGUCGAUGAUCGUAGUAUAUUUGGAAUCUCAAAACCAGUUUUGGAUGAAUAAGAAAUUGUUGUCCAAAGUUAGAAGAAAAACGGAAAUUCUAUACAUAAUAUCACCGCUCGAGCGGCAGCCUCACCUCGGGAUUUGGAUUUUCAUUUAUUUCAUAACGUUUGUUACCAACCUUUUGUUAAUUCCAAGCAAGCUUUACUUUAUUUAUUUCUUGUUUAAGAUUCAAUUUUGAUUAUCAAAAAGCGCACACACACACAUACACCAACAAACUUAAGAAACAUAUAUUUCAUGGGAAGAUCCAGGUUAGAAUUAUUCUUCCCGAAUAGUAGCACCCAGACAAGAUUGUUUUUUCUCCUCAAUCUAUUUCUUAAAAUACUUUGUGGAUAGAUGCUCUUUCCGCUAAUCCAUGAUCUGAAUCACAAAAACCUGAAAGAUAUGAAAUGGAAGUUCAAUCAAACAUGUAAAAAUUUAAUGAUAUGAUCAGCUUAAGGACUUGUAUAUUUGUGCAGGCAGAUAAUCAAAUGAACAAUGAUGUCUUGAAUGUUGAAGAAAGGAAGUUUAGAUGCAUGGAGCCAAUGUUUCUGUUCCCUGUGUUUUUACAUUUCGUUCAAUAAAAGGUUGCACCUUAUUUAAGUGUAUGUUGAACUUCAGAAUAUUUGUAUUUCUUUUUAUUCAGUGUGUUGUACUGCUGUAAUAAUUUUACCUUGCUUUAGUUUUUGAAUAUGGAAUUACUGCUGCCUUCAUUUUACUUACUUAUAAUUCUUCUUCUUGACAAAGUGGGCAAUUUUGAAGAGGCAAAUAGAAAACUGCAUGGUCUUGCACUCUUACUUUUUUGGACCUAAUGUAAUUUGCGUUUGCUUGAUGAGUAUGGUAUUUCUACUCGGAGCAGGUUUUGCCAAGUAAAUUAAACUUACGUAAUAUUUUAUUCUCGUACAUAUAUAUAUAUGGAGAGACUUAUUCUCUUUGACCGACUGGUUGUAAUAUUUCAGGAGUUCAGAAAUUGGAAGCUAAUGGAAGGAGAGACUUAUGAGUUAUGGGUAUACAAUUAGGAGUGAGUUAUAGAAAUUUCAACUACAAAUUGAGAUCUAUUGUGAAGUUUGGUAUAGUUGCAAUAUAACUCCAAAUCCUUCAUUGUCUUUAAAUUGGGUUUGGGUUUGGGUUUUUACAUCUUAUCCAUAAUUGUGUUAAAUACAUUGAUGAAUAUAUUCAUUCCUAUGUGUUUCAUCAAUUUAUUGUUUCUUACAAGCUCUAUCUAUUAUCAUUUUGGGAAGUUUCUCAGCCAUACUUACCAACUUAUCAGUAGUUACCCAUACUUACCAAGCCGUGCCAUAUGAUUGCGUGGCAAUCAAAAGAUGGUGUGUUUUUUAAGUCUGAAUGAUUUGGUUUGAGCCACACUCAUGAACAAAAAUUGGACCAAACAUAUGAUAUUGAGACGUCAUAUCCCAAAAUUCAUUGGUUGGAAGUUAUUAACAGAUCCAUCAUUUUUUUUUUCCGAGUCAUAUUAUCCUGAUCAGCAUCGUCCUACAAUAUAGGAAUUCGGACAUGGAGACCAUCAUACAUUACUAGUCAUCUAAUAUUCUAUGCAGAAUAUGAAGGGAAGCUUGAGAAUUUUUUAAAAUAUUGGAUUGUUGGAAGGGUUUACAUGAUGACCCCAAAUUCGGACAUAUUUUUUUUCAUAAAACGGAGUAUAAAACAUUCUGUCUUCAGGGAAAAGUUGUGGUAUCUUGACGUGUAAUAAAUGAUGUUACCGAUGGCUUGAUUUUGUAAACAGGGAAGGUUAGUUUCUGUUUAACAAAACGUUUGAAGACUUGUUUUAUGCAAAUGUUAAUUACUGUGAACAAGAUUGACACAUUACAUAAUUAGAGUUGUCAUCCUUACUUUGGCUUAACAUUUUAAACAAGUAAAGAUUUGAAAUUGGAUUAAUCUUUGUAAAAGGAAUGUAAUGUACAAGUCCCGUUUUCAUUGAGAAGUAUUGUACCCCUAUUAUGAAACACGACUUCCCGCCGGUCCACAAUAUAAAAGCACAAAAAACAUAAAGUUUUCAUACUACAGGCUUGUAUAUAUUAAUAAUCACAAUAAGCUUAAGCAGGUACAUAGAAGACGAUCAUUUUCCAAAAACAUAACUCAAGCAUGUCAUUUCUUAGUACAAAAAGAUGAUCAAACCAGUCCCUCAUAAGUUGCGAUCAAAAGAGGAGUCUAGAUUAAAACCAUAACACAUUCGGGGUGAUUAAAAACUUACUUUGAAAACCCAUUUUUUAGUGCAAAGUUUUGAAAACCCAUUCCCUCAGCCUUGUUUCUUUAAGACUUUAACAUCCCGUCCCAUGCUUUUACAGGCAUGCUGAUAAUGUAUUUUAAGCGAGUGCACUAAGUACUCCAUCCUCUUAUAAAGUUGGGUAACAAUAAUGAACUAGUUUUGCAAUCUUUUUUCCAUAAAUCAGAUUCUGAAGCAGUAGGUGACUAUCUAAUUUGCAUAGAAUGUUUUGGAAUUGUUCCGAGACUCAGAGCCUUCUAUAUAAUUUGUGAACUGUUCAUUAGGUUUUAAACUUUUUGCAUUCAUUGCUUGAGCCUUCUAGUACAAUCUAGCACCGCAGUCAACCUUGUCCUAUAACUUUUUUGUUGAAGCAAAGGAAGAUGAAUAAUUGUUGUUGUCGUUGGCAACCCAAGAAGAAAAGGAUAAACAAUCGUGGUACAUUGACACCGGUGCCGCCAAUCACAUGAGUGGCAACAAGGAGUUAUUCUCCACAAUAAAUGAGUUGGUAAAAGGAAAUAUUAUUUUUGGAGAUGAAGCUAAAAUUCCAAUAAAAGGUAAAGGUGAUGUUCUUAUUCGUGCUAAAAAUCGAAGUCAUCUUUUGAUUUCUUAAGUUUAUUAUUUACUUGCUUUGAAGUCUAAUAUUUUGAGUGUGGGACAAUUACUUGAGAAUGGCUACGACAUUAACUUGAAGAAUCGUUGCCUUACUUUGAGAGAUGUUUCUCAUAAACUGAUUGCAAAGGUGCCAAUGAAGAAAAAUAGAAUGUUUUUACUCAAUGUUAAUGUUGACUAUCCAAGUUAUCUAAAAGCUUGUGUUGAAGACAAUUCUUGGCUUUGGUACUUAAGAUUUGGUCAUUUGAUUUUUGGUGGCUUGAAGACCUUGACGAAUGAAGAAAUGGUGAAUGGGUUGCCAAAAAUUAAUCAUCCCAAUCAACUUUGUGAAGGAUAUGCCUCGUUGGCAAGCAAACUAGAAGAAGUUUUCCAAAGGAAUCCACCUCAAGAGCAACAAAGCCACUCCAACUUGUUCAUGCGAGGGCCAAUCAAACCACCCUCUCAUGGCAAAACAAAUUAUUUCUUAUUAUUUAUUGAUGAUUUUUCUCGCAAGACCUGGGUUUAUUUUUUGAAGACGAAAGAUGAAGUUUUUGGAGCAUUCAAAAAAUUCAAAGCCCUUGUUGAAGUUUUUGGAGUAGUAAGAAACCUAGUGUUUAUCAUUUACAUGUUUUUGAUAGUAUUGCCUCUCUUCUUGAAGGGCAAAAAGCAAUUGCGCGUGAAAUGGGUGUACAAAGUACAGAAAAGUACUUGAGGAGAAGUACAAGGCAAGAUUUGUUGCCAAAGGCUAUAGCCAAAAGCAUGUCAUUGACUAUGAUGAGGUCUUUGCCCUCAUUGCUCGCUUGGAAACCAUUCGAUUAAUCAUUUUCUUGGCAGCUCAAAAUAAGUGGAAAAUUUGUCAAAUGGAUGUCAAGUCCGCUUUCUUGAACGGAUACCUUGAAAAAGAAGUGUACGUUCAACAAUCAUUGGGUUAUGUUGUCAAGGAACAUGAAGAUAAAAUUUUGAAGUUGAAGAAGACGCUAUAUGGCUUGAAGCAAAAGCCUAGAGCAUGGUAUAGUCGGAUUGACAAGUAUUUUCAAUAUCAUGGAUUCAUCAAAUGUUCACAUGAGUAUGCUUUUUACGUUAAAAAGGAUGCAUUUGGAGGUUUUAUGAUUGUGUGCUUGUACGUUGAUGACUUGAUCUUCACCGACAACAAUGAAAACAUGUUUGAUGAAUUUGAGAGAAUGAUGGCUCAAGAAUUUGAGAUGAUUGACAUUGGGCUCAUGUCAUACUACCUCGAAAUUGAGGUAAAACAAAUGACAUUUUUAUUUUUCAAGAAGCUUAUGCAAAGAAAGUUCUUGAAAGAUUCAAAAUGAAAAAUUGCAAUCCUGUGAGUACUCUCAUUAGGUGUGGAACAAAAAUGUCAAAAUAUGACGAGAGCACGAAAGUGGAUCCAUAGACAGCUUGUUGGAAUCUUGAGAUAUUUGAUACAAGACCCGAUAUUCUUUAUGGUGUUGGUCUUGUUAGCCGUUAUAUGGAGACACCAACUUUAACUCACUUGGAGAUUGCUAAAAGAAUACUUCGAUGUAGGUUCCCUUGAUUAUGGCUUAGCUUAUUCAUCUUCUACAAAUUUCAAGCUUCAUGGUUAUAGUGAUAGUGAUUGGGCUAGUGAUAUUAAUGAUCGAAAAAGCACCACUGAAUUUUUGUUUUUCAUGGGUAACACCGCUUUCACUUGGUGUUCAAAGAAGCAACCCAUUGUGACCUUUUCUACUUGUAAAGCUGAAUAUGUUUUCGCUGCAUUGUGUGUUUGUCAUGCCAUUUGACUACGGAAAUUAUUGGAGAUGCUUUAUAUGCCUCAAAAAGAAGCUACACCAAUUUAUGUUGAUAACAAGUCAGCUAUUGCUUUAGGUAAAAAUCCUAUGUUCCAUGAUCGAAGCAAGCAUAUAGAUACGAGAUUUCACUUCAUUAUAAAGUGCAAUGAGAACAAAAAAGCUGGGCUUACUUAUGUGAAGACCAAUGAUCAGGUAGCAGACAUUUUCACCAAAUCAUUGAAGAAUGAUGAUUUUACAAGAUUGCGUACUUGGAUUGGAGUUAUCAAGAGGGAAUCAAGUUUAAGAAGGGGUGUUGGAAAUUAAACUUAAUCCAUGAAUGAUGAAAAAAAAAAUUUUUUGAUGCAUGAAUUAAUUUAUUUAAUAUUCAUGCAUUUAUUUAAAUCAUGUAUCCAAAUGGUUCUUUGUAUCCUAUUAUUCAUAGUAUGUAGGAAAAGUCAUUAAUUAGUCUCUUAAAUUCAUACAGUGUAUUUGGAAUCCUUUGUAUCUAUAAAAGGUCUUGAAACAAAAUCAAAAUCAACUUAUAUAAAUAAGACAGAUGAAGUAAUUUAUUUAUUUUUAAUGGAAGCAGAUAUCUUCCAUAAACUAUACUUCACAACUCAUUUAUUUUUCUUAUUCUUUUUUUUUUUAUUUUUCUACCUUUCUGACUUAUAUGGUUAAGUAAAAAAAAAAAAUUGUGCAGUUACAAGUAAUUUGGAUUGAAACAUUGGUUUUGAACAAACUUAAUUACAAGUAAUUUUGAUCGAUAAGAAACAAAUUUGAAAUAGCCCAUAAACUGUCUUCAUUAGUUACUGUUUGGGUGACAAAAUGCACCUCUAAUUGGAUUGUUUGGUAGGUGAACCGUGACUAUUCCCCAAACGUGCUUGGAAGUCAACGAGUCUCCGUUUGGUAGGUGGUAAUUAAAGAAGAAAGGGAUUAUAGAUUGACUUGGGUAGACCAAUAAAUGAGCCAAAAGUUAAGAUCAAAUUCAUCAAAGUUACAUAGAAAAAAAAAAAUUCUCCCAGUUUCAGUUUUCAUGAAUAUAAAUUUACCAUAUAUAGGCGAAUUUUUGGUACCGAAGAAUUAAUUUAAGAAGAAAUGGCUGAAGAAGCUGCCAUGAGAUUUCUGCUAGAAAACUUGAAGCAGCUACUUCUUUACAAUGCACAUCUGAUUCUUGGCGUUAGGAGUGACGUCGAAUCUCUGGACAAGAAUCUGCGAUUGUUCCAUGCCAUUCUCAAAGACAUGGCAAAAGGGAACAAUCAUCAUUACGUCCUAAAUGAACUGGUGGUGCAAAUCAGAGACAUCGUGUAUGAUGCAGAAGAUUGUGUGGACGAGUAUGUUUCUCAUUCAGCUAUGCAAGAGGCCCGAAAUAACUUUAGUAAACUUAUCCAUAUAUGCAACUACACGGCAAAGCUUCGAAAUAUGGCAGUGAAGAUUAAGUCUGUGAGGGGCAAGGUCGACGAUAUGUAUCAAAAGAAUAUGCCUGUGUCUGAAGCCCUGCUAGUUGCUGCUCCUGAUAUCAAAAAGAAAGAGGUAAAAUACCUUUACUCUGAUUAGUGGUUUUAAAGCUUUGUUAAUUGAUUAGCUUAGCUGAUUGUGUUUACAAUUUAUCAGUUCCGGGCAUGUUUGGCUAAGCAUAAUAAAAACUUGGUAAUACGUUUAGAAAAAAGUUCAAUAACAACAAAAAUGAAGUUGGCCUUCUUACUUCAUUUCUCCUUUGCUGUUUCAAGACUUAAUUCAUUUUAAUACUAAUUUCAAAAAAUGUAAUUUGGAGCCCGUGAGAGCUUAUGCUUCUUAUAAAAGAGGUUCACGAGGAAACUACUUUAUACCAAUUUCUUCUUAAAACUUCUUUAACCAGGCAAAGCAAUUUCAAAAAAUUAUCUAAACAUAUUUUAAAGUAGUCUUUUAGAGCAUUUUCAAAAGACUUUGUAUGUAUAAAGAGCGUCUAAUGCUUUAUAGAGAACAUUUUCAAAUUUAAAGAGACAAUUUUUAUGCACUCCAGCAAUGCUCUCUCUAUUUUGGCUAUUUAUUUCACCGUUCUCAAGAAACAUUUACUGAUUUUUUCUCAAAUUUUAUUUAAUAUAAUUUUUUAUAUGUUAAUGGUCAAUCAAUUUAAAUGUGUUUGAACAUUUUAAAAAGCAAGGUAUUAAAAUUUGUGAUUUAUUAAACUUAAUCAUUGUACAUUAAGAAUAGAGAGCAUGUUUGACCCUCUAAAUUUAGAGAGCUAAACUCACUUUUUAUUUUAAAAAGUUAAAAUAAAGUCUCUUUGGAACAAAUUUUUAAGCAUUAGCUUUAAAAUAAAGAGUAUUAGAAGUAGUUUUUAUUUUUAAAAAAGUGUCCCAAACAAGUCUUUAUUUUCUAAUGAAGUUUGUACCAAACUAAUUUUAUUACUAUCUUGAACACCUUGUAGUCUCCAUUUUAUAUCAGUACUAGAACGAUUAUUGUUCACAUAUAUUAAAGGCUCCCAUUGCACCCCAACUGAUUACUGUUCACUAUAUUAAAGGCUCCCACCGUGGAAGACAACGUGGUGGGCUUUGCAGAUGAUGCCAAAAAGGUAACCAAACUUCUCAUUGAAGGACCUGAGGAACUACAAGUUAUAUCAAUAGUUGGUAUGGCCGGUCUUGGUAAGACAACGCUGGCUAAAAUGAUAUAUAGCGAUCCUGAUGUUAAAUCUGAAUUCUACAAUCGAGCAUGGGUUUCUGUUUCUUAAAACUAUAGUAAAAAGGAAGUGCUUCAAGAUAUUCUAAGACAAUUUUCUAAGCGUAUCAAAGCUGACAUUAACGAAGUCCAAUUUUCUAGGCCUAACGAAUCUGACAUGAAUGAAGACGAAUUAGAUGACAAACUUCGUAAUUGUUUGGAGGGAAAAAAAUAUUUAAUUGUCAUGGACGAUGUGUGGACAGAGAAGGCUUGGGACAAAUUAAAAACUGCUUUUCCUAGAAACAAGAAGAGUAGAAUUUUAAUAACUACUUGUGAUGAGAAAGUGGCUAAGCAUGCGAACCCCAACAUAGAUCCUCAUAAGUUGCAAUUUCUAACUUUUGAAGAAAGUAGGAUUUUACUUCGAAGGAAGGCACUUGGAUCUAUGAAGUGCCCCGACGAGUUGAGAGACCACGAAUUUCGUAUUGCCCAAAAAUGUAAAGGACUCCCACUGGCAAUAGUGGUGAUUGGGGGAAUUCUGCUAGGAAAAGGUAAGGAAAGUGAAUCGUGGAAGAGAGUUGCUGAAAGUGUGGAGGCAUUUAUAAACAUGGACGAGGAGAACAAGAUGCACAAUAUUGUAGAAAUGAGUUUUGACAUUUUACCUUAUCAUUUGAAAAUGUGUUUUCUCUACUUUGGGAUAUUUCCUGAAGACUUCCAAAUUUCGGUGUGGAAACUGCUUCGCCUUUGGAUCGCGGAAGGAUUCAUACGGCCAAUUGAAGGAACGAAGAUGAGUUUGGAGGAUAUUGCUGAAGAGUACUUGGAGGGUUUCAUCAGCAGGAAUUUAGUCAUGGUUGGGGAGAAGAGGUCAAAUGGCAAAGUCAAAACAUGUCAUAUUCAUGACAUGCUACAUGUGUUUUGCAAGAAACGAGCUGCAGAAGAAAGAUUAUUUGUUGAAAUUGCAGAGCUUAACCAAGGUACUUAUUCACCUUCCAACCCUGACUCUAAAAAGUGUCGUCGCCUUUCCAUCAAUUCCGGAAUUUCGAACUAUAUCUCUUCAAAACCAACCGGUCCACAUGUUCGGUCUUUUUUAUGUUUCACCCAUGAAGAAAUAACCUUGCAAAAUGAGGAAAAAAUUCUUCCAUCCCUGGUGCAUUUAAAUUGCUCAGGGUGUUAGAAGGUAAACCCAUCCAUUUCACUCGUUUUCCUGUUGACCUAACUCAACUUGUACAUUUGAGGUAUCUUGUUCUCUCCUGCAACUUCAAAACACUACCUGCAGCCCUUUCCAGCCUUUGGAACAUGCAAACUCUUGUAGUUGAGACAUCAUCACGCACCCUUGAAAUCAAAGCAGAUGUAUGGAAGAUGAUUCAAAUGAGGCAUCUAAAAACAAAC
This 9882-nucleotide long non-coding RNA is filed under the name Olea europaea (common olive). RNAcentral describes it as "long non-coding RNA (OEUR_LNC006837)". The record is from RNAcentral. Lineage: Eukaryota; Viridiplantae; Streptophyta; Magnoliopsida; Lamiales; Oleaceae.